RNAcentral lists this ribosomal RNA (509 nucleotides) under uncultured bacterium. RNAcentral's name for it is "partial 16S ribosomal RNA". It matches the Rfam family "Bacterial small subunit ribosomal RNA", at positions 28 to 506 of the family's 1533-position model. The record is from RNAcentral.
GACGAACGCUGGCGGCGUGCUUAACACAUGCAAGUCGAACGAAGAGCGAUGGAAGCUUGCUUCUAUCAAUCUUAGUGGCGAACGGGUGAGUAACGCGUAAUCAACCUGCUCUUCAGAGGGGGACAACAGUUGGAAACGACUGCUAAUACCGCAUACGAUCUAAUCUCGGCAUCGAGGAUAGAUGAAAGGUGGCCUCUACAUGUAAGCUAUCACUGAAGGAGGGGAUUGCGUCUGAUUAGCUAGUUGGAGGGGUAACGGCCCACCAAGGCGAUGAUCAGUAGCCGGUCUGAGAGGAUGAACGGCCACAUUGGGACUGAGACACGGCCCAGACUCCUACGGGAGGCGGCAGUGGGGAAUCUUCCGCAAUGGACGAAAGUCUGACGGAGCAACGCCGCGUGAGUGAUGACGGCCUUCGGGUUGUAAAGCUCUGUUAAUCGGGACGAAAGGCCUUCUUGCGAAUAGUGAGAAGGAUUGACGGUACCGGAAUAGAAAGCCACGGCUAACUACGU